This 262-nucleotide ribosomal RNA is filed under the name uncultured bacterium. RNAcentral describes it as "partial 16S ribosomal RNA". It matches the Rfam family "Bacterial small subunit ribosomal RNA", at positions 32 to 267 of the family's 1533-position model. The record is from RNAcentral.
AAUCAACGCUGGCGGCGUGCCUCAGACAUGCAAGUCGAACGCGAAAGUUUCCUUCGGGAGAUGAGUAGAGUGGCGCACGGGUGAGUAACACGUGAGUAAUUUACCUUCGGGUGGGGAAUACCAAUCGGAAACGAUUGUUAAUACCGCAUAAUGCAGCGGCAUCAAUGAUGACAGUUGUUAAAGCGGGGGAGUUGGAGCAAUCCGACCUCGCGCCUGAAGAGAAGCNCGCGGCAGAUUAGCUAGUUGGUAAGGUAAUGGCUUA